CGUGCCGUCCUCGUCUCUGCACACGGCCCGCCCGCCGAGCUGAGGUGUCAGGCGCAGCCGUGUAUGUUUCCUACCAGGGACGCUGCUUUGAAGUGCCGGGUGGGAGGCCUCUGCACUCGGCCCCCUAGGAGCAAGUGAAACUAGACUGAGCACAAAGGAGAAGAGAAGGAAAAAAAAGAUGUCAUAUUAGUGGCCUUGUUGUGGCCGUGUUUUCACAGAGGAAAGAAGCAGAUGAAUUCAGCAGAAUUGGAGUCCAGUUCUCUAGGAAGCACCUCCUGGUAAUCUCUGGCCACCCUGGAGUUGUCAUCCCUGCAGAUUAUUGAAAUGGCUCGCCUAUGCAGCUGGCUAGGAUCCAAUUUGGCUACAGCCCGCCCUCGCUGAAGUCCGUGUUCAGUUCAUCUCUCUGGUAAUCCUCUGACUCUACUCUUGGAUUUAGUCCAAGUAUCUCUCUUGUUCUUAAUGAGUUCCAGGACGGAAGAUUCCACAGCCUCCUCUGACAGCUUAUAUUAUAGUGCUUUAUAAUACUGUCAAGAAAUGCCUAUUUCUACUACAACUCAUUUCCUCUUUUUCUAAAUGAGUGAAAAUAGAGAUGAGACCACCGCUGUCUUCUCUCCUGGUAGCCCUUGUGUCCUAUGAUCCUGUGAAGGUAGUUUAGUGCGUUAGCCCUCAAGUUUCUUUCUGGAAAGUGUAGGGGAAUAUAUCUUUGUAUGUUCCCAAUCUGAGGCACUAUUAAAUGUGAAUGAAUCAACUCUCUUGAGAGUUGAAGUGAUUCUUUUGGGUACUUGUUCCAGCUGAGCUGUUAUCUCACAAAGACUUGUUUCUUUUCCUAGUUGGCAUUCAUUUAAUACUUUCACAUAAGCCUGAGGAGGGCUGACAGUUUAUUUUCCUGAUGAUUGGGCAAAGCUCAUUGUUCUGACACUAACCUGUCUGCUUAAUAUCCAGCUCUUUGAACCCAUGUCUGAUCCUCAGUUCUGGAACCUUGCCUCCUGUUUGCAGUAUGGUCACUUCAAGGUCUAUGGCUUAUAUUGAC
Molecule: long non-coding RNA, 1030 nt
Filed under: Sus scrofa (pig)
Lineage: Eukaryota; Metazoa; Chordata; Mammalia; Artiodactyla; Suidae
Source: RNAcentral